Molecule: ribosomal RNA, 253 nt
Filed under: uncultured bacterium
Lineage: Bacteria
Description: partial 16S ribosomal RNA
Rfam family: Bacterial small subunit ribosomal RNA
Source: RNAcentral
UACGUAGGGGGCAAGCGUUGUCCGGAAUCAUUGGGCGUAAAGCGCGUGUAGGCGGCUCGGUAAGUCUGCUGUGAAAGUCCAGGGCUCAACCCUGGGAUGCCGGUGGAUACUGUCGAGCUCGAGUCCGGAAGAGGCGAGUGGAAUUCCUGGUGUAGCGGUGAAAUGCGCAGAUAUCAGGAGGAACACCAAUUGCGAAGGCAGCUCGCUGGGACGGUACUGACGCUGAGACGCGAAAGCGUGGGGAGCAAACAGG